Molecule: small nucleolar RNA, 133 nt
Organism: Euleptes europaea (tarantolino)
Lineage: Eukaryota; Metazoa; Chordata; Lepidosauria; Squamata; Sphaerodactylidae
Product: small nucleolar RNA SNORA47
Exons: 1
Source: RefSeq, a predicted model, not a curated record
UGGAGGAUUGAGAAGGUAAGGCAGUCAAAUAUAUUGCUUUUUAUUGGUUAUAGCCUCCAAAAUCAAAAUGGUGCAAAGCAAAACGUGUUCCUCUGAUCAGUGAGGAAACAAAGCUGCUGUUUGCACACACAUC